GGCUCGUGUGGUCGCGCGCUUAGUCCAGUAGAGGGCGACAGAACUGCGGCCUACUUUUAACAACUCAUAAACGACAAUAUUCCAGAUCCCCCUCCAGAGGAUUCAGAGAGAGGACUGCCAUCAUCCCCAGGCCUCUGGUUUCUAGAGACAGCUGACGGUAUUUGCCUCAGCCUAAUGCACUAUCAUGUGCAACGUUAACACUCACGAGGGACGUUGCUCUUGGUUUGGUCUCCAUGGAGCUAAAUUAUAAUGACAAGCAUCGCCUGAACAGCAUCCUGAACCCAGGGAAGAGCUGACUGUGGCAUCAUUUGAGAGCGUAAUGUCUGCCUGUGCGGCCCAGACAGAGAGACAGGGCUUCCCCCUGACACCAGCAUCGAUUCUCCCAUUGAAAGACUCUCCUUUCUUUCCUGUAGUAUUGAUGAAUGAUUCAUGAGGCUGCACAACGAGUGGAACUUGGCAGUGCACUUUGGACAGAGAGAUUGUGUGAGGAUCACACGGGCAGAGAUUAGCCAAUGCACCUAUUUUCAGAGACGGCUCGUGGCCGUGGACCCGUGAGGGGCAUCAGUAUAAAAUCUCCUUAAUAUGUUGGCUCAUUAGCUUUUA
Long non-coding RNA from Cyprinus carpio (common carp), 603 nucleotides. RefSeq lists it as uncharacterized. Lineage: Eukaryota; Metazoa; Chordata; Actinopteri; Cypriniformes; Cyprinidae. The record is from RefSeq and is a predicted model, not a curated record. The transcript is spliced from 3 exons.